GAGGCUAUAACACAGUAAGACCCUCCGGUCAACGUGUCUCAGUGGGACCCUCCGGUCCCAUAACUUGGGUGGACCCUCCGGUCCGAACUUAGUAAGCACAGAAUAAUACACAUCAUAAAUCACAUAGACAUAAUACGGGAUAUCUCAAUACUCAAUAUAAACACAUAAGACAUCUCAGUCACACAAAGAUACCACUCAUGGUAAGUAUAGUGAGAAGACUCGGCUCGACAACAAGCAAUUAUCCUCGCACUCGAAUCUCGAACUAGCCACCGCCUAACACAUAGGGUAGUCAUCUUAAUAAAUACUCGAUCCUCGACUCUAAGUAAACCAAAGGUUAUUCUUCCUCUUUUUAACUCUUAAAGUGGGUAAAAGACCAUUUUACCCCUCCAUGGUCUCCAUUACUCAUGUUUGACCAAACCCUAAAGUCAAUAGAAAUCAACUCGAAUCAACAGUCCAUGUUUGACCCGACUCGCCGAGUGCACCUAUGUGACUCGUCGAGUCCACUCGUUUCCUCGGAAGUCUCGUGAAGGUCCAACUUUGCUCGUUGAGUUGACCCUCAACUUGCCGAGUUAUCGCAUGAUCAAGCUCAUCGGGACAAACCCUAACCGACUCGUCGAGUCGGCUCAUCGACUCGGCGAGUCCAUUCAGACUCAUUUCUCAUUCAGGUUAUUUCAAGGUAGAAAACCAUCCCAAACUCUAGAUCUACGUUCUCAGGGCUCGAUUAUCACAUAAAGUCACGAGCUUUAUGUCCAUGCACGACAUAUGAUGCUCUAAAUGCCAAUAUAACUCUAACAAAGAUGCUUAACCACAAUAACUCUUAUAUGGUUGAAUAAAGCUAUAAUCUUUGGACUCUCUGGACCUCACAAAGUCCAGAUCUGAAGUCUAGGCCUCCUACUAGACUUCAUGUACUUAUUGUCCCAACAAAAGGUAGAAAAAUCCCUAACUUCCAUAAUCAUGAGAUCCAACUAAUAAGAUGAGAAAUGUGUAGGCUUUAUACCUUCUAUAGAACCUCCACGUGAAGAAAUGUUAGAUCCCACAGCCUCUUCUCAUUCCUUGCUUGUUGCUUACUCCUUUCCUUCCAAAGAUUCACCAAAACACUUGAUAUUAGCUCAAGCACUCUCUCUUAUAUUCAAUGGCCGCUAAGGGUUUCACACAGGAGAGUUGGGCAGCUGGUGAGGCACAUUUGAGGCUAUAAGUCCCCUUAAAUAGGCCCUAACCCCGGGACUUUAGGGUUUCCUCGCACAACACCAACUCGGCGAGUCGGCACACUGACUCGUCGAGUCCGUUCAUUAAACCCCCACGGAUAACUCGACUCUACUCGACGAGUUGGACUCACAGCUCGUCGAGUCGAUCCAUAAAUCUCAGAAUUUACUCUUACAAUGAUAUACCUAAGAAUCCAGAUGUUACAAUUCUCCCCCACUUGAAUUAGAUUUUGCCCUCGAAAUCGCUCCUCCACAGCACAUAGAUCGAAACCAAAACCCCGAAAGGUACCAUCGAAAGGAUCUCAUACCACACGGCUAUCUUCCUCCAGAAGCACCUGAAUCCAAACAAAAACUUUGAAACUCGGAAAAGGACAGACCCUCCUGCCGUUACAUUACCCCUUCUGACUCUCCAGAAUCUGGAAACUCUAGUGACCUGUCUCACUGCCAGACCGCCCUCUCAUGAUAUCACCAUGUUAUUUGUUCGUCGAAUAACAGACCCCUGAUAACUUACUGCCCCUCUGAUUCUCUCGCUGCGACUGAUAAACAAGUCAAUGCCCAAAAAUUGGCUACCGACCACUCUUACCAGACAUACAAGACGAUCCAGAUCAUACUCCAAUGAACGAAAGGAUCACACCACUAGGAACCCACCCACUGCACUACAAUCAAAACGCAUCUGAACAAUGAACUCUCAACACCCUGUCCUCAGACACAUGAAAAUAAUCAUGCUUACUCAGAAGUAUCCUUUGACAUCUAUCAAUCAUAAGCCCCAACUCCCAUCUCAAAUAUCCCUUUCAACACUGAGCACCAGGUCAACUCCCGACCCAACUGUUGAACCUCCAAAGGUUACCCGUUGCAUACCCCAAAACAUCUUACGGACUUCCUUCUCACACCAACUGUCUCGGUCUAGUGUGACACACUAGUCACGAAGUUCGCUUUACCCCAAGUGAAUACUACAACCCCAACUAAAAUCAUCUCACCCUCGACCUCUGUCGCCUACUACUCAUUAGUUCCAUACGUCUCGCGGUCCUUCCCAUACAGACGAACUGACCCACUCAGGUCUAAGAAAUCAGGUGACACACAAUACCCCUCCAAAUGGAACCCAUCUACGAAUCCGGAACCUCAUCUCGCCUACUUAAUACACGAAUUGUCCCAAAUUCAACUCGAGAGUCUGAUUUCACAACAUAAAUGGAAUUACUCAUUUCCAAUCUUAUAUUCAACUCGUACCCGCGAUUCGCAAAUUUAUGCACACACCAUCUCUCCAAUUCCUUACGAUUACGGUAAUCCUUCCUCAACCCGGGAUACAACAAUCCUCGUCUGACACGGAGACCCCAGUCUCGCCCCUGGUCCGGCAACCAGGUUCUAGAAGACUCAAGUGGUAAGGCUAUCUAAUCCUAAGAACUCCUUUGCGUCAUACUUUGAAUAGUGAAUACUACAGCUCCUCGCAUAAUGAUAUUAACUCUUAUUGACUACCGAGUGCUACGGUUCCCCCUAGGCUUAUGACACCCCAUCACUAACCAUUGAGUACUACGGCUCCCUGCAAUAUCACAACACUCUCUCGCUAGCCAGUGAAUACUACAGCUACCCGGAGUAUCACGACACUCUCUCGCUGACUAGUGAGUACUACGGCUCCCUGCAGUAUCGUGACACUCUCUCGAUGACUAGCGAAUACUACGGCUCCCCGUAGUACCACGACACCCUUUCCACUGACUCAUGAAUGAUACGGCUCCCCGUAGUCUCACAACGCUCUCUCGUUCACUGACUCACCAUGGGCCCACUCCAUGGCUUCUCGUGGUAAUCCCAAGCGAUUAUUCCUACCGGAUUCACUUGCUCUCUUAUCACCCCAUAAUCUCAACAUCAAGACAUCACUACACUGAGUUCACCAACUCAUGCUCCGUAGUUCAACCUAGAUAGGUGCUUACACCCACCCAACUUAUGCACCACCACUCCAUGAUGUAAUUUCUCGAAGGCAAGGCACUUUUCUCAGCAUAAAUACACCCUUAGAUAGUCCCACUCUGGCGACACUUAACUGAUGGGUUCCCACUGGAACAAAAUCUCUCGGUACUCCACUCGCCAUCUCACACUCGAGUCUCGACAUGACCAAAAAUUAGGACAUCAUACUCGGGUACCUCGGGACACCAUUACAACAUCUCACGCUGUCUUGCCUCAACCACUGAUCUUCCACUUACGCAACUCGAAACCUCGAAAUACUCCCAUCUCCCAAAUGGAAAUACAGAGGAAUCAUUAACGACUGAAUACACGUUGACGAAAAUUUGAAGAUCCAUCCUCUACUGAUCACCACCCAUAGGAAACUACUCAUACCGACUUUGAAAUUGGUUGAAAAAUCAACUGCUUCCCCUCCUGGAGUAUAGAUCACAAUCUAUAUCUAUACCCGCAGAUCUCAGCUAUUUCACCCUGAACUCAGCGACCCAACUACCUUGAACUCAACAUUUUCAAACCCGAAAAUUUACCUAGCCCCAAAAAAUUCUCUGGCCAACGGCCACCCACCAUGGAUUCACUCAUCCUUUCUUAAGCACAUACUCAUACGCCAUCCCGCCUUGCACCUUGCCUCAUACACCAAUAACCCAAGUCUCAUGUGUCUGCAUUGUAGAUCUCCAUAACUAGCUCCAUACCUGCACUUGAACGGAUUGUUGAUCCUCCCAAUAAAAUACUUGGUUCUCCCCCACUCAGGGUUCGAACCAUCACCAAUUGGCAUACCAACAAUAUACUCAAGACUGUUUUACCCGAUACAUCACACUUGACUCUUGGAAGGUACCACGUAAUCAUUCAAUGAUCUUCCCAAUGGAAACCAACCAACUCCAAAUAUCCCGCAACUCAGACAAAAAUCUCAGAAUCUUCCCAACGUGAUUGUCUCCAGUCAUCUCGAAGCCUCAGACCGACACACCGCCGAAUACCCCAACUGUUUCGCAUAGACCUGAAUCUCAAUCUCAAAAUAAUACACUAUCACGAACCUCGACAUCGAUUCCUCUACCAGCCACCCGCCGCAGGAAUCAUCAUAAAAGCAAGAGACCUCACUCUCACAAUCGAUACACAACGUGGACAAUGAGGGCCACUGCCCCGAUAUGCUCCUCUUUAUCACCUAGAAUUACUGCCAAAAGUAUGCCUCCCUCAAUAAGGCACCUCUUUGUUCUCUUCCAUCUUAUUCCUGCUAUUGACUCUCUUAUGGUAUGAAAAUACCUCGCAACAAACAUACAAAUCAAAUACUUUGGCGAAAAGGUUGCAACCCUAUGCUACCUCACGGGGUUUACCUCCAAACUCUGAAAUCGGGAACUCGUUAUCUCCUUCGCUUCUCCCAGAAAUGGGUACAACACAACUCUUGUCACAUAAGGUGACGCUUCAUCUACCGGUCGAUUGCUCAACUCAGACCGCGAUCCCCCAAUAAGCAUCAUCUCUACUCGUCCCUAAGUAUUUCAACUCCAACUGACAUCUCACUGAAAAUCUCUCAGAAACUAACUCGAUUUCCUUCUCAAGGUAUGCUCCAUUGAAACUCGUUCGAAAGGUCCCUCAGGCCCCACACUUUAUGACAUAUGAUCUCAGUCUAAUCAAACAUAACGGGAUAACUGGUAAAACCAGAAGCACUAACCGCCACAAAUCAUGGUACUCGAACCAUGUUAUUUCCUCUCAACCUGCUACGAAUCAUGGUACCCAGACCAUGUUAUCUCCUCUCAAUCUGCUACGAAUCAUGGUACUUGAACCAUGUUAUUGAUGGGUUUUAAGCAAAACACCAAUCCUAUGGUGUACAUGCAAACCCUAAUAGCUUUUGGAUCUAAUGUGUCUAAUGAACAUGCAAUUGAAUAUCCAAAGCUAUAAACCCUAGAUCUAACAUAUAAUAAACUGAAUUAGGGUUUAGAGAAUUACCUUUGAUUGUUAUAUAGCAAUAACAAUCAAUUCCUUACUUUGAUUGGCUUCAGAAAGCUUAGUGCCUCAAGUGUUGCACCUCUAAUGGAGUCACAAACACCACUAAGCAACUAGAUGAAGAAGGAGAAGAGAGGAGGCACCCAAAAACGUCUAGAAACCCUAAGGAUUCAGUUACACACGUUUUUGGGGCCUAAAGGGUCCUUUAUAUACUUGUGUGAGCUGCUAGGGUUUCAGUCAAAACCCUAAUGGACAGCUUAAACUCUAAGCAACCCAUGGAACCUUCUGGAUAAGGCCAUGGACGAAAAUAUGAUGGGCUCCCAUCAUAAUUUCGUUCACCCCUUGUUCCUUUAGCAUUCCUUAGCCCACUAACUCAAUUUUCCAAUAACUGCAGUCCGGUCCCAUAUAUUUAAUUAAUCUCUUUUAGCCACAAAAUUAAUUAUCAAUUAAUUCUUGACUAAUAUGAAUUAAACAAUAUGAUUUCUCUUUUAAUAUAUUAUUCUCAUAAUAUAUUAAUAAAUCAUAUUUAAACCUUUCUCUCCUUAAUUCAUCCUACAUAUUGCUAUGGUGAAGGCAACCCAAAAGGACCAUGCUCAUAAUCGGGUCAAGUACAUACCAAAAUAGUUAUGGACUUAGACACUAAUCCAACAGUCUCCCACUUGGAUAAGUCUAAUAACUAUUUUCCGUAUGACUUCAGAACCUGAUCAGCAAUCGUAGCUUUCAAAAGCCGCUGUCAACUCUGAUCUUAUCAGAUAGCGUGUCCUCUAGAUAAGGGAUCAUAUAUUCCUCCAUUCUCAAGAUAUCGUAUAGACAUGAAAAUCAUUCUCUCUAUACUGUUUCCCGACUUCCGAUUUAUGACGACUGACAACAGACUACAAUUGAACACAUCAACUUAGUCCCGACUUGGCCAAGCGCUUAGGUGUCAUCACUAAAUAUUUGAGGGGCCCGCAGAUAUCGCUUUUAUCCUACUUUGGGUAAAAAUAAUGGAUAAACUUUGACUCAUAUGCUUGCUUGGAUUCACUGAUCGAAUCAUACACAACAAUAAGUUUUAUAACACCAAGUUACUGGUGCGUUUACUUAUUAUCAAUGUGCAACCGACCAACAAAUAACAACUCACACGUCUCGAUUUCAAGAAUAUACAAUAUUAUCAUCUCACUAAUCACCCGCGAUAAAUCCAUGAAGUGAUCCAAGUGAGCUUGGGUUUAAUCCAAUACUCUAAUCUAAUCAAAGCACUCAUGAAUCCUGCAACAAACUUGUGCUAUGUUUAAACACUUUAGACAAUCUACAGACAGAUUCAUGACAGUCUUCUUUCAUACCUACUUCCAANCCCAACGUAUGACCGACUGUGGAUGUUUGAAUAACCUAGUUAUUCUGGAAGUCAAAACAUGCAAAUUGAAACAUAACAAUAAUACUUAAUCCUAUAUGGCCUCAAACUUGUGAGAGUAAAUAAAACACUUCUAUUUAACCACCAUAUUGAUUACUCAUUAUUAUCGUUUACUGUUUCAGAAAAUCAACUUAUUACUCAAAUUACAACAAUAGUUGUCCCAUGCAUAAAGCAUGCACACUAUGUUUCCUAUGGUCCUUACUUUGUGAAAUAGAUCAAUUGAAAAACCUUUUCAAUGAUGCUCAUUUCACAAUUCCCAAUCCUUAUCAUUAGUGUAGGAACACAAGGUUCUUGCCACUACUAGAAUAUGCUAGAUUCUAACAUUUUAUGUAACGAUCCUUUCGCAAAGUCAUAGCACAAAAGUCACCAAGACUUGGCCAAUGAAAUUACAAAGUACUCUAUCAUAAAUUGUUACAAGACAAAUCCAUAGACGUGAAGUCUCACAUUCAAAGUACAUUCCUUUGAACAUCCUUCUUGCAUAAAAGUUUCUAAUCUAGACAUAGAUUCUCAAUAUCCAACUCCCGAUAUGGAAACAUUUCCACAUUUUCCAUAUGACAACUCAUUCUUAAUAGAAUCUUAUCUAUUCAUAAUCAUGUCGAUAUGGUCCAUCCAAUACCAUACUUCUAACUACUCACAAGCGACCAAUCCUCAGCGAACUUUGGAUCGUCCUUUGAUAGUUGUUUAAUUAUUUUAGUCAAAAACCGAUUCUAGUCCGUUUUCCCUCUUAAUGCGCUAGACAUUUGGAAAAUUUUAGAAUGGUCAAAUAUUAUAGCAUUUGAAAUCGAUACUAUAUCUGAAGCAUAUGGGACACAAUGCAUAAUGUCUUACAUAAAGAUAUGUUACUUUAUCAAUCUUCUGCCAUAAUAUUUUAUGUGUCAUGUUCUCACAAUUCGAACUAUGAAAAGGGAUGCCGUAAUCAUAAUCGAAAUUUGAGAACACACAAUGUAUCAUUUGAUUAUAUUUAUUAAAAUUUUACAAUCUAAGCUUUAGAUUUUGAAACGAAGUAUAAUAUUCUCUCCCUUAAUUAUAGUAAAACAACUUUUCAACCCAUGCUACUUUGCAAAUUGAAUCUUUGUUUUUCUAUAUUUAAUAUUGCUAACUUGCAAUACUUGCCAUAAUAAUCAUACAAGCAUAACACGUAUGCUCCCACUAUCAUGAUGAUUAUUACCAUAUAAGCAUAACACUUAUGCUCCCACUAGCUUUGACAUGUAUUUAGAAAACAGCUGAAUUUCCAGAAAACAAUGCCUAUUGAAUUUCUGAAGUUCAUAUUUCUAAUACCAUAUGCUUNCUUUGCCUUAGAUAGCUCAUAUGUGUGUUUAAACAAUUCAUAACUUAUGUUACUAAGUUCCAAAUGUUGAAACUAAUUGCCAAAUCUCACAAUUCGAACUAUGGAAAGGGAUGCCGUAACCAUAAUCGAAUUUGAGAAUACAAUUUUCACAAUUGCUAUCUUCUUAAAAUCUCUCUUAGUGAAAGCAUUUCCUCACAGUCAUUUUCAUGAAGGAGGGAAUCUUAUGACACUUAGAUUUUAUGGUGUACGAGUUCUUAUCCAUGUGAAUUUGCCAAAACCAAAGUUUGCGACAAAUCCAAACUCAUAUGGACUGAACUUUCUUAAUCUUGAUUUCUUGCCUUAUGGUAACAUGAGUGCCCACCAUGUCUUCCAAGUAGUUUUGCAACUUAUCCUUGCAUAUCAAUGUACUUUCCAUUGAUCAAGGCGGUUUGUCUUUAUGUAUUCAAAUGAGAACUCACAGAACUCACAUACAUAAUUAACUCAAUUGGAAUGACACAGAAACAAAAUAAUGUCAACACGAUAGGUUGUAAACCUCAAGUCGUGUGCUAGUGAUGAUCGAUAAGGUUUAUUCUUGAUUUGUUCUUGAAACCUUCUUCAAGAUCAUUAAAACUCCUACUGAUCUCUUGACAUAUAUGAUUCUCUUGUCAGGAAACUUUUCUAGACAAAACAAAUAUUCAAGAGUUAGUGUAGUUCUUAUAAGGACAAAACACUUCACAUAAUUGGUCAUAGUUGGUCUUUAUCUUAUCCAAGACAGCACAACUUACCAAUUUCAAAUGUGCAAGCAUAAGAAAACUUUUCCAAAUUCCACAUUUAUUGAGNAUGCGAAACUCCACUUGCCGAAUAGGUGGCAUUGAGAAAACGGUAUUAAGACUCACUUGUCGCUCAAUUCGAAAUCUUGGAGUAAGACUCUAAGAUUCGAUAUUGGAACGAAGUAUGAUUGACUUCUUGAUUUAACCAAUUCCCGAUUCCUCUUCUUAGACAUAAAAAUAUACUAAGACUCACUUAGAGAAUCAAUUGAGAUACGGUUCUUAAUCAUUAAGACUUAUCAUAAAACACAAUAAAAGGUACUCUACCUUCUUAGAAUAGAGAAACUUUUAUCUUUCUGCCUACUUGAUUCUUCUUAUUCGUUCUGUUAUUCAUUGAAACAUUUUUCAAUCAACUCAGAAUUACACUUAAUCUUAUAAGUACAUUCAUAUUUACUAAACUUUAAUAAAUCAUGACGAAUAUCUUUAUCACUCUUGUGGUGGACUUGAUCAACACACAACCUAGUGUACUCGAUCUCCUAGUCCUUCACUUGACACUUUGUCAAAGAAUUAGUCUAAUUUCCAAAUAUGAAGUCUCUCAUUCAUCACGCAACCAAGUUGUAUGAUUCCAAGUUUCUGUCCAAUUGAAACUUGGGCGAUGAGAAACUCUCCCUAUUUGGUAAAUUCUCGACAUUUCCACAAGUAACAUAAUUAAGAAUCAAAUCCUUUAUUGCUAAUAAUAGAAACCUUUAAACAUCAAUUUUUUUUCAUACAUGCCAUUGCAAGGAUAAAUAUAUAAAAUAAAAUCAAAUUUCAUUUUAUUGUGGAAAAAAUUUGUCCUUACAAUGCAAUUCAAUUGAAAAACUAUGUCAUUACACAUUUCUUAGCAAUCUAUUCUAACUCCAAGUAGUAGCUCAAGAAUCCAAUCUUCAAGCAAUGCGAUCGAAAUCCAUUUCUUCAUGAUUAGAUUCAACUCACUUCUUCCCAUAAGCUUCCUCUCUUUUCUUCGAUCCUACAAAACAUCAAAAUGUAAUCUUAUCACAUCAUGUAUUAAGAAUCUAGAAUAGGAACUUAAAAGAGUUAGAUAAUGGAUUUUACCUGAAGUAGAGCUAUACAUCUUGACUCUCCCAUCUCUUAGAUCUCUCAGGUAGUUUGCGCAGCUUCGUCUCCAAUGCCCCUUCUCUUGGCAAUAAAAACAAAUGGACUCCUUUGGUACAACACAUUGGACAAUAACAAACUUUGUUCUUUCUGGACUUCCAUUGUUGCCUGUGUCCAUUGAAGUUUGGGAGUUUGAUUCACCAGACAAAUUUGCUUGACAACACGCCAANUAGCAGCUAUAAGCAAAUAGGUGAGAUCAAUGAGGGUCACGUCGUGAUCCAUCAUAUAGUACUCUCUAACGAACUCACUAUAUGAUUCAGGAAGUGACUGAAGAACCCAGUCAACGGUCAAUAUUUCUAAGAUAUCGACACCCAACAUCCUUAACCUAUCAAUGUGCGACUUCAUCUCUAAGACAUGUGCACACACAGACGUUCCAUCUUCAUGCUUAAUUGCCAAUAAGGCUUGAGUGAGCUUGAACUUUUCAAUCCUUUGAACUUGUGGGGUAGGAAGAACAAUUGGAGGAGGUGGAGGAAGUGAAGCAUGAUCUCUUGUUCCUCGAUCAUGUCGUGGAACAUCAUCUUCAUUUGGAAAGCUUGUUCCAUGGGAUUUGGGAAUACCAUGACUAUCAAAACUAGACAUCUACAAAACGGGAGAAAAUUCAAGUUAAGUUGAUUAGAAUUCUUGAUGUAACACCCAAAUGAAACAUCAAGCUAGGAUCCAACAGAAUACUCUACAACCUAAAAGAGGGAUGUCAUAAUCUAGUCGUAGAAUAUUUGAAGGUAGGUAAAUGACGAUUUACCAAUUUCCACCAUGAAAAAGGAAAAGGAAGUUUAAGUUUUAAAUGAAUUGAAACUCCUAGAUCUUUUGAGAUUCAUUGAACUUUUCAAUGGCAUGUUUAAUCUCGAUUAUGCCCUACUAUUUGUGACUGGGAUGCCGAGGAUCACAAACAAGGUGUGAAUAACCAUACUAAUCACGUGGUGCACCCAAUGCUACUAUCACCAAAUGAAUGUUCCGGUUAGCCACACACGCUCCAUUGAUCUAUGAUAAGCAACGAGCCACCCUUCGCCACCAAUGUCAUCCCCAAGUUAGUGUGUCGGUUAACCACACACACUCCACUAACGUUUGACAAGGCUACGAAGUGUAAUCCCAUGGAUUAGCAUACAAUUUCACAUUUUGCCUAAUGUAACUAUGAUUUGGGAAUUUGUAUAAGCAUUUAGUUACUUUGUACUUCAUUAUACUUAUAAUGGAAGGUUUCUGUCCUAUCCUACCCGUUCGGCUAACGACCCUCCACUAGUCAAGAGUGCGGUGGGUAAGAGUGGAUACCCAUUCAAUCGCCAUUUUAUAGGCAAUUUCCUUAAACACCCCUUAUAGACCAGCUUCGUGAAUGAGGCCUACUAACGGUAAGACUGACUGUUUACUCAUACAUAUAUAUAAUAUUAGACUUUUAAUGUUAUAUAUAGUAUAGGGUNGUCAAGAGUGGGAUGGGUAAGAGUGGAUACCCAAUGGCGGUCAUUUUAUAGGCUGCUUCCUUAAACAUCCCUUAUAGACUAGCUUCGUGAAUGAGGCCUACUAACGGUAAGAUUGACUCUUUACUCAUACAUACAUAUAUAUGUGUAUAUAUAUAUAUAUAUAUAUAUAUAUAUAUAUAUAUAUAUAUAUAUAUAUUAGACUUUUAAUGUUACAUAUAUAUAGGGUGUAUUUUACACUUUUAAAAUACUAAGUGGUCUAAUUUAGCAAAUUAUACUUUUAAUUUAUUUAAAUGUAAACCAAAACUUUAUGGGUUUCUUAAAUAUCUUUUAAUUAUACACUUUAAUUAAUUAAUAAAACCAUAAGGGUGUAAUUUGAACCUUUUCAAAAUACUAGGGUGUUAGAAUUUAACAUUUCAAAAUUAAACUUUUAAUCAAUUUUUAAAUUCCAAAACUUGAGGGCAAGUCUUGAAACAUUUCAAAACAUCGGGGUUUAGAAUUUAAAUAUUUCAAAAUUAAACUUUUAAUCAACAAUUUAAAUUCCAAAAGUUGAGGGCAAGUUUUUGAAACUUUUCAAACUAUCGAGAUUAAAUUACAAAUAAUUAAAUUAAUCAAAUAAUUUGAAUUAUCUAAAUUUGAGCUAAUUUAAUUUCUUACAAGAUAAUUCAAAACAAAUAAUUUAAAUAAUUAGGGUUUCUCAAAUAAGGCAAUAAUUGUCUAAUUAAAUGACAAUUAUCUCUAAUUUUGACAAGGAUAAUCAUAACAAAUUAAUAAAAUUCGGAUUUUAUCAAUCAAAAACAAUUUUGGUAAUUAUCCAAGCUCAAAAUAGGUCAAAAUCCUGAGUAUUCUGCCAUCUGCCCUGACACCACCUCGUGGUGAUCAGGCAGAAGCAAAAAAACGAAAUUUUUUUCUGCUUUGAAAACAUAACUUUUGCAUCAAAUACAUUAUAAAAUCAUCCUAGGCUCUGAUACCACUGAUGGGUUUUAAGCAAAACAUCAAUCCUAUGGUGUACAUGCAAACCCUAAUAGCUUUUGGAUCUAGUUUGUCUAAUGAACAUGCAAUUGAAUAUCCAAAACUAUAAACCCUAUAUCUAACAUAUAAUAAACUGAAUUAGGGUUUAGAGAAUUACCUUUGAUUGUUAUAUAGCAAUAACAAUCAAUUCCUUGCUUUGAUUGGCUUCAGAAAGCUUAGUGCCUCAAGUGCUGCACCUCUAAUGGAGUCACAAACACCACUAAGCAACUAGAUGAAGAAGGAGAAGAGAGGAGGCACCCAAAAACGUCUAGAAACCCUAAGGAUUCAGUUACACACGUUUUUGGGGCCUAAAGGGUCCUUUAUAUACUUGUGUCGGCUGCUAGGGUUUCAAUCAAAACCCUAAUGGACAACUUAAACUCUAAGCAGCCCAUGGAACCUUCUGGAUAAGGCCAUGGACGAAAAUAUGAUGGGCUCCCAUCAUAAUUUCGUUCACCCCUUGUUCCUUUAGCAUUCCUUAGCCCAAUAACUCAAUUAUCCAAUAAUUGCAGUCCAGUCCCAUAAAUUUAAUUAAUCUCUUUUAGCCACAAAAUUAAUUAUCAAUUAAUUCUUGACUAAUAUUAAUUAAACAAUAUGAUUUCUCCUUUAAUAUAUUAUUCUCAUAAUAUAUUAAUAAAUCAUAUUUAAACCUUUCUCUCCUUAAUUCAUCCUACAUAUUGCUAUGGUGAAGGCAACCCAAAAGGACCAUGCUCAUAAUCGGGUCAAGUACAUACCAAAAUAGUUAUGGACUUAGACACUAAUCCAACAGUUAUCUCCUCUCAAUCUGCUACGAAUCAUGGUACCCGAACCAUGUUAUCUCCUCUCAAUCUGCUACGAAUCAUGGUACCCGAACCAUGUUAUCUCCUCUCAAUCUGCUACGAAUCAUGGUACCCGAACCAUGUUAUCUCCUCUCAAUCUGCUAUGAAUCAUGGUAUCUGAACCAUGUUAUCUCCUCUCAAUCUGCUACGAAUCAUGGUACCCGAACCAUGUUAUCUCCUCUCAAUCUGCUACGAAUCAUGGUACCCGAACCAUGUUAUCUCCUUUCAAUCUGCUACGAAUCAUGGUACCCGAACCAUGUUAUCUCCUCUCAAUCUGCUACUUAGAACCUUUGGAAUUCUCCAUGUUUCGAGUACGGGUCCUCUGCUUUCAGUAGUACGGGCCCAUACUACAUGACACAUCUACCCAUACUUUCCACACGGAUCGUCCCAGAUUUCCUAAGUAGCUGCUCAACCUUCUCGAUCACCAAUCCCGUUAAACCUAGUCGCUCCCCAGCGAAUACUCACAUCUAUCAAUGUACUCAUCUGAGUAAGGCCACUCCUUUGGCUCUUCCUAGGUUCUCACAUUUCUCUGCCAUCAGCUGCUGAAGAACUCCUUAUGAUGUCAGCCAUCUACCUCCUGAAUAUCAUCAUAUUCACUUAGUAGCCGACUCUCAUCAUCGAGAGUUCCAUAAAGAACGAAGCAAGCAACAUUCGGGCAUCGAAUAAUCUCCACCAGCACGUAAAACCACUAUAGGUUACAACUCUAUUGGCUCUACUCGUACUCAAAAGGUGUCACCGAACUCAAGCAACUCUACCCCACAUGGGUAUCUAACUACUCUCUCAGUAGGCUUCUCCAAUGCUCAUCUAGGUAUCUCUCCUAGAUUACUCCUCUACUCAAAGCUCUAUCUCUGAAAUAUUCCUGUUGGAUACUCUUACUCCGUACAUACCCAAAGCACAUCACAGAUAGCAAAAUUCUUAGGCUAAGGCAUCACAAAUCAGGAAACUCUAGCCCUAAAAUAUGAAAUACCUAGCCUAUCUCCUAGCAUGCAUCACUAAUAUCUCAAUAAUAACUCAUAACACAAAUAAGUAAUGGUAUUUUAGGAAAUCACUGUUUGGGCUCUGGCUGAUUGUACACACUGCUCCUUCUCGUUUUCUCUUAGAAACUCUUGCUCAUUUAGAAAAAAAUCAUUUCUUUUGAAAUUUUUUCUCAAAUCCCCAGUUUGAGUUCAUACAUUCCCGAAGGUGUAUCCGAAUCCCUCAAACCAAGGCUCUGAUACCAACUUGUAACACUGAAAAUUUUCAAACAAUUUUUUUUCAUUUAAAAUCACAUAAUUCUCAUAACACAUAACACGGUAAGCACGAAGCUUAAUGAGUUCCCCAAAAUACCACACACAACUCAUUAGCCCCUCGAGGCUAUAACACAGUAAGACCCUCCGGUUAAUGUGUAUCAGUGGGACCCUCCAGUCCCAUAAAUCGGGUGGACCCUCCAGUCCUAACUCAGUAAGCACAAAAUAAUACACAUCAUAAAUCACAUAGACAUAAUGCAAGAUAUCUCAUUACUCAAUAUAAACACAUAAGACAUCUUAAUCACACAAAGAUACCACUCAUGGUAAGUAUAGUGAAAAGACUCAGCUCGACAACAAGCAAUCAUCCUCGCACUCGAAUCUCGAACUAGCCACCGCCUAACACAUAGGGUAGUUAUCUCAAUAAAUACUCGGUCCUCGAAUCUAAGUAAACCAAAGGUUAUUCUUCCUCUUUUUAACUCUUGAAGUGGGUAAAAGACCAUUUUAACCCUCCAUGGUCUCCAUUACUUAUGUUUGACCAAACCCUAAAGUUAAUAGAAAUCAACUCGAGUCAACAGUCCAUGUUUGACCCGACUUGCCGAGUGCACCUAUGUGACUCGUCGAGUCCACUCUUUUCCUCGAAAGUCUUGUGAAGGUCCACCUUAGCUCGUCGAGUUGACCCCCAACUCGCCGAGUUAUCGC
This 14805-nucleotide long non-coding RNA is filed under the name Lactuca sativa (garden lettuce). RNAcentral's name for it is "long non-coding RNA (LSAT_LNC002114)". The record is from RNAcentral. Lineage: Eukaryota; Viridiplantae; Streptophyta; Magnoliopsida; Asterales; Asteraceae.